This 563-nucleotide ribosomal RNA is filed under the name uncultured Cortinarius. Its description in RNAcentral is "eukaryotic LSU rRNA". The stretch from base 183 to 336 matches the Rfam family "5.8S ribosomal RNA". Lineage: Eukaryota; Fungi; Basidiomycota; Agaricomycetes; Agaricales; Cortinariaceae. The record is from RNAcentral.
ACCUGCGGNAGGAUCAUUAUUGAAAUAAACCUGAUGGGUUGUUGCUGGUUCUCUAGGGAGCAUGUGCACACCUUGUCAUCUUUAUAUCUCCACCUGUGCACUUUUUGUAGACCUUUCAGGUCUAUGUUGCUUCAUUUACCCCAAUGUAUGUUAAUAGAAUGUUGUGCCUAUAUAAUAUAUACAACUUUCAGCAACGGAUCUCUUGGCUCUCGCAUCGAUGAAGAACGCAGCGAAAUGCGAUAAGUAAUGUGAAUUGCAGAAUUCAGUGAAUCAUNGAAUCUUUGAACGCACCUUGCGCUCCUUGGUAUUCCGAGGAGCAUGCCUGUUUGAGUGUCAUUAAUAUAUCAACCUUCUCUUUUUUGAGUUGUUUGGAUGUGGGGGUUUGCUGGCCUCUUAAAUGAUUCAGCUCCCCUGAAAUGCAUUAGCAGAACAACCUGUUCAUUGGCGUGAUAAUUAUCUAUGCUAUUGAAUGUGAGGGCAGUUCAGCUUUCUAACCGUCCUCGGACAAUUCAUCAUUAAUGUGACCUCAAAUCAGGUAGGACUACCCGCUGAACUUAAGCAUA